Molecule: long non-coding RNA, 2098 nt
Organism: Salmo salar (Atlantic salmon)
Lineage: Eukaryota; Metazoa; Chordata; Actinopteri; Salmoniformes; Salmonidae
Source: RefSeq, a predicted model, not a curated record
UUUGAGAGACCAUCCUCUUAGAAAUGCAAGAGAAAGCUCAUAUUAUAAAAUAGCUCUCUGGAUGCAAUUCCUAUGGCUUCCAAAGGGUGUCAGCAGUCUAUGUUCAAGGUUUCAGGCUUGUAACUUCAAAAACGAAUAAGAAAUAACAGUUUUUGUAUGAGGACACAGUCUUGAAAAUCCGUGUCAAUGCGCACCAUGAUGAAGUUGCGCACCUGCUAAAAUCGGUUUCCUAUUGAACAUACUUCUUUCCUUAUGAAAUAUUAUAGUUUGAUUACAUUUUAGGGUGUCUGAGGAGUAAACACAAAUGUAUUUGUACUUGUUGAAACAAAGUUUAUGGGUAGAUUUUCAGAUUCCUUUCUCUGCAAAUUGAACGAGUGGAUUACUCAAAUCGAUGGCACCAACUAAACAGACUUUUUGGGAUAUAAAAAAUGAUCUUAUCUAACAAAACAACACUACAUGUUAUCACUGGGACCCUUUGGAUGACAAAUCAGAGGAAGAUUUUCAAAAAGGAGAGACACAUGCCUUCCCAAGGGAUAGCAAUGCAUUUUGCCUGAUAUGGACCAUAAGUGGGUGUCCAAGGCAUUGUUCAGGUGGUCCGGGAAUGGGAUUCCAGAGAUGGACUUUGCCAUGGUUGACAAAAUGUGGUGGGACAGCCCUCCGCCACCAUAUUCAGCUCAGUAGAGAUGGAGAGGUACUUUGCCCAUCCUCUGCUGCUCUGGAUGCCCAGGAAGCUCUUGCAGGGGAGCUGAUAGGUUUGGAGUACCUCUUCGAUCAGACUGGUUUGGUGCUGCAGGAUUAUAAGGCUUGUCACGACUUCUACCGAAGUCGGUUCCUCUCCUUGUUCAGGCGGUGUUCGGCGGUCGACGUCACCGGUCUUCUAGCCAUCGCCGAUCCAUUUUUCAUGUUCCAUUUGUUUUGUCUUGUUUUCACACACACCUGGUUUCAAUUCCCUAAUUACAUGUUGUAUAUUUUCCCUCUGUUUCCCCCCAUGUCCUUGUCGGGAAUUGUUUAUUUUGUAAGUACUCGUACUAUGUGUUACUGGUGCGCUACAGGUUUUGUACCCAUGUGUUUGUUGUUUUGUAUGCUGUUAGUCCUACUCCCACCCCCUCUACCCGCAUCCAGUCCACAGCUGCAUCACUCAGUCCCCUGUCCUCCACUCCUGUACGGGCUACUCCAGGACCUGGGCCUCUAUCCUCCACACCUGUGCUUGUCAGUCCCCUGUCCUCCACUCCUGUACGGGCUACUCCAGGACCUGGGCCUCUAUCCUCCACACCUGUGCUUGUCAGUCCCCUGUCCUCCACUCCUGUACGGGCUACUCCAGGACCUGGGCCUCUAUCCUCCACACCUGUGCUUGUCAGUCCCCUGUCCUCCACUCCUGUACGGGCUAACGUUACUCCUUAGUCUAUGGACCAUAAAUUAUAUUUUAAAGUGUGAAUUGGCUCUGGCAGUCAAAACAGCCAAAUACUCCAUCUAAAGUAUUGGGAUAGUGAAAUGGUUUGUUGUUUCGGCUCUGUACUCCAGCACUUUGGAUUUGCAAUGAUACAAAGUGCAGACUGUCAGCUUUAAUUUGAGGGUAUUUUCAUCCAUAUUACAGCACUUUUUAUUACAGCACUUUUUGUACAUAGUCCCCCCCAUUUAAGACGAACCAAAAGUAUUGGGAUAAAUUCACUUAUGUGUAUUAAAGUAGUCAAAAGUUUAGUAAUUGGUCCCAUAUUCCUAGCACGCAAUGAUUACAUCAAGCUUGUGAGUCUACAAACAUUUGGUCUUUAUUUUGGUUGUGUUUCAGAUUAUAUUGUGCCCAAUAGAAAUGACUGAUAAAUAAUGUAUUGUGUCAUUUUGGAGUCACUUAUUGUAAAUAAGAAUAGAAUACUUUUCUAAACACUUCUACAUUAAUGUGGAUGCUACCAGGAUUACGGAUAGUCCUGGUGAAUUGUGAAUAAUGAUGAAUGAGAAAGUUACAGACGCACAAAUAUCAUACCCCCAAGACAUGUUGCAUGACAAGGGCUAUGUUGAGGUAGCUUGCAAGUAAACAUUUCAUUGCACUGUUUACACCCCCCUGUAUUCUGUAUAUAUGAUGAAUAAAAUUGGAUUUGAUGAA